UACGGAGGGGGCUAGCGUUGUUCGGAAUUACUGGGCGUAAAGCGCACGUAGGCGGCUUUGUAAGUUAGAGGUGAAAGCCCGGGGCUCAACCCCGGAAUUGCCUUUAAGACUGCAUCGCUUGAACGUCGGAGAGGUAAGUGGAAUUCCGAGUGUAGAGGUGAAAUUCGUAGAUAUUCGGAAGAACACCAGUGGCGAAGGCGACUCACUGGACAUGUAUUGACGCUGAGGUACGAAAGCGUGGGGAGCAAACAGG
Molecule: ribosomal RNA, 253 nt
Filed under: uncultured bacterium
Lineage: Bacteria
Description: partial 16S ribosomal RNA
Rfam family: Bacterial small subunit ribosomal RNA
Source: RNAcentral